This 520-nucleotide ribosomal RNA is filed under the name uncultured bacterium. RNAcentral describes it as "partial 16S ribosomal RNA". The record is from RNAcentral.
GGCUGCUGGCACGAAGUUAGCCGGUGCUUAUUCUUUGGGUACCGUCAUCCCAACCGGGUAUUAGCCAGCUGGAUUUCUUUCCCAACAAAAGGGCUUUACAACCCGAAGGCCUUCUUCACCCACGCGGUAUGGCUGGAUCAGGCUUGCGCCCAUUGUCCAAUAUUCCCCACUGCUGCCUCCCGUAGGAGUCUGGACCGUGUCUCAGUUCCAGUGUGGCUGAUCAUCCUCUCAGACCAGCUACGGAUCGUCGCCUUGGUGGGCCUUUACCCCGCCAACUAGCUAAUCCGACAUCGGCUCAUUCAAUCGCGCAAGGUCCGAAGAUCCCCUGCUUUCACCCGUAGGUCGUAUGCGGUAUUAGCGUAAGUUUCCCUACGUUAUCCCCCACGAAAAAGUAGAUUCCGAUGUAUUCCUCACCCGUCCGCCACUCGCCACCCAGAGAGCAAGCUCUCCUGUGCUGCCGUUCGACUUGCAUGUGUUAGGCCUACCGCCAGCGUUCACUCUGAGCCAGGAUCAAACCCUU